RNAcentral lists this ribosomal RNA (253 nucleotides) under uncultured bacterium. RNAcentral describes it as "partial 16S ribosomal RNA". It matches the Rfam family "Bacterial small subunit ribosomal RNA", at positions 524 to 776 of the family's 1533-position model. The record is from RNAcentral.
UACGUAGGGGGCAAGCGUUGUCCGGAUUUAUUGGGCGUAAAGAGCGUGUAGGCGGCCCGAUGAGUCCGCUGUGAAAGUCCAGGGCUCAACCCUGGAAUGCCGGUGGAAACUGUCGGGCUAGAGUUCGGAAGAGGUGAGUGGAAUUCCUGGUGUAGCGGUGAAAUGCGCAGAUAUCAGGAGGAACACCAAUGGCGAAGGCAGCUCACUGGGACGAUACUGACGCUGAGACGCGAAAGCGUGGGGAGCAAACAGG